RNAcentral lists this long non-coding RNA (501 nucleotides) under Monodelphis domestica (gray short-tailed opossum). RNAcentral describes it as "lncRNA (ENSMODG00000043027.1)". Lineage: Eukaryota; Metazoa; Chordata; Mammalia; Didelphimorphia; Didelphidae. The record is from RNAcentral.
GACAAUUGUCAUCACAGCUCUUACUGAAUAUAUCCUGAGUGGAUAAGGUUUCCUAGAAUUGAAUUACAGAAGAAAGUCCUAUGCAGAACACACUUCUAUUCUUAAUAUCGUCAUGGGAUGGUGCUUUCCACAUUAAUAUAAGUCAAGGAGGUCCUAAGAGAUGAGGAAGAAAGAAAAAUUGCAUCGGAGCAGAACAUUCUGGAUAGAAAAUAUGACCUUUUCCAUAUUAUUGAAUAAGGCUUUUUUUGGCCUCUUCAUCAUGGCAUUGUCUGGUUUCUCAGAUGUUUUAAGUGGACUACACUAUAAAGCAUUAAUAAAGAUUGACUGCAAUUGGAUAUUUAGAGCAGUUAUAGCAUCAAUGAAGAAAAUGAUGAAUUAUUGCCUACAUACACUUGAACCACUGUGUGCAACCAACAACAAAACUUACUGGAACUCGUGUGCAUUCUGCAUACUAACAUCGUAAGGAAUAAAAUUUCUUUUUUCCCCUUAAUCUUUUUAUUA